GAGCACGUGACUGGGAUCCGGCUCGGGAAAGAUGGCGGCGCCCAGGGCUGCGGCGUGAAAGUGUCAGUGGGAGACUCCGUGCGCCGCGCUGGGGUCAGAGCCGCGGGGCCGGGCGCCAUGUCGCGGCUGAUCGUGAAGAACCUCCCGAAUGGGAUGAAGGAGGAGCGUUUCCGGCAGCUGUUCGCCGCCUUUGGCACGCUGACGGACUGCAGCCUCAAGUUCACCAAGGAUGGCAAGUUCCGCAAGUUCGGCUUCAUCGGCUUCAAGUCCGAGGAAGAGGCCCAAAGGGCACUGAACCAUUUCAACAAGAGUUUUGUCGACACAUCCCGGAUCACGGUGGAGUUCUGCAAGUCAUUUGGGGACCCGACAAAGCCGCGGGCCUGGAGCAAGCAUGCCCAGAAACCAAGCCAGACCAAGCAGCCUCCGAAAGACAAGGACUCGGUGCCCCCAGAAACUAAGAAAGACAAGAAGAAGAAAAAGGCAGCGAGUGAGCUGGAGGAGCUGAAGGAAAGCACCGAGUUCCGGGAGUUCCUGUCGGUUCACCAGAGGCGGACACAGGCAGCCACUUGGGCUAACGAUGCAGUGGACACGGAGCCCUCGCAAGGGAAGAGCAAGCAGGCCAGUGACUACCUGAACUUUGACUCUGAUUCGGGCCAGGAGAGUGAGGAGGGAGCCGGGGAGGACUCAGAAGAGGAGGGCGGCCUCGAACCGAAGGCAGCCGUGCGGAAGGAGCUGUCGGACAUGGAUUACCUGAAAUCCAAGGUGGUGCGGGCCGAGUCGCCGUCUUCCUCGGAGGAGGAGGAGGAGGAGGAGGAGGAAAGUGAAGAUGAGGCCGUGAACUGUGAUGAAGGCAGUGAGGCCGAGGAAGAGGAUCCCUGCACUGCCCCCGCCCGGCAGGGCCAGGAGAGGACAGGGCCAGGCCCAGAGCAAGGCACCCUGUCUGGGACCAAGAAACCCCAGGAGGCCAGCGCCCAGAAAGAGAAGCCAGCCGUCCCGUGGGAACCCAGCACCCCCCACACCGUGAAGCUGCGGGGAGCCCCGUUCAACGUCACAGAGAAAAACGUUACGGAGUUCCUGGCGCCCCUGAAACCGGUGGCUAUUCGCAUCGUGAGGAAUGCUCACGGGAACAAGACAGGGUACGUCUUUGUGGAUUUCAGCAGCGAAGAGGAAGUGAAGAAAGCUUUGAAGUGCAACAGAGAAUACAUGGGUGGCCGCUACAUCGAGGUGUUCAGGGAAAAGACUGUCCCCGUGGCCAAGGGGCCCCCGAAGAGCAGCAGCAAACCCUGGCAGGGCCGGACGCUCGGGGAGGACGAGGAGGAGGAGGACCUGGCCGACUCGGGGAGGCUCUUCGUGCGCAACCUGCCUUACACCAGCACCGAGGAGGACCUGGAGAAGAUCUUCUCCAAAUACGGCCCCCUGUCCGAGCUGCAUUACCCCAUCGACAGCCUGACCAAGAAACCCAAGGGCUUUGCCUUCGUCUCCUUCAUGUUCCCUGAGCACGCGGUGAAGGCCUACGCGGAGGUGGACGGGCAGGUGUUCCAGGGCAGGAUGCUCCAUGUCUUACCAUCCACCAUCAAGAAGGAAGCCAGCGAGGACGCCAGCGCCCCGGGAUCAUCCUCUUACAAGAAGAAGAAAGAGGCCAAAGACAAAGCCAACAGCUCCAGCUCUCACAACUGGAACACGCUGUUCAUGGGCCCGAAUGCAGUGGCCGACGCCAUCGCACAGAAGUACAGCGCCACCAAGAGCCAAGUGUUUGACCACGAGACCAAGGGCAGCGUGGCCGUGCGCGUGGCCCUCGGGGAGACCCAGCUCGUGCAGGAAGUGCGGCGCUUCCUCCUGGACAACGGGGUCAGCUUGGACUCCUUCAGCCAGCCCGCUGCGGAGCGAAGCAAAACCGUGAUUCUGGUGAAGAACCUGCCGGCAGGCACCUUGGCAGCCGAGCUGCAGGAGACCUUCGGCCGCUUCGGCAGCCUGGGCCGAGUGCUGCUGCCCGAGGGCGGCGUCACCGCCAUCGUGGAGUUCCUGGAGCCGCUGGAGGCCCGCAAGGCCUUCCGCCACCUGGCCUAUUCCAAGUUCCACCACGUCCCCCUGUAUCUGGAAUGGGCUCCCGUGGGCGUCUUCUCCAGCUCAGCCCCACAGAGGGAGGAACCCCAAGACACACCGGCGGAGCCUGCGGAAAAGGAUGGGGCGGAGCCAGAACCUGAUGGGGAUCCAGUGCCAGACAGCGAGACCCACGAAGGUGAAGAGCCAACAGAGGGAGGAGCAGCCAACUCUUCGUUGAAGAUGGAGGAAGAGGAGGAGGAGGAGGAGGAGGAGGAGGAGGAAGAGAGCCUUCCUGGGUGUACCCUGUUUAUUAAAAAUCUCAACUUCGACACAACUGAGGAGACGCUGAAGGGGGUGUUUUCCAAGGUGGGCGCGGUGAAGAGCUGCUCCAUUUCCAGGAAGAAGAACAAAGCAGGGGCGCUGCUGUCCAUGGGGUUCGGCUUCGUGGAGUACAGGAAGCCGGAGCAGGCCCAGAAGGCGCUCAAGCAGCUCCAGGGUCACGUCGUGGACGACCACAAGCUGGAAGUGAGGAUCUCGGAACGAGCCACUAAGCCAGCCCUGACAUCCGCUCGGAAGAAGCAAGUUCCCAGAAAGCAGACCACCUCCAAGAUCCUGGUGCGGAACAUCCCCUUCCAGGCCAACAGCCGGGAGAUCCGAGAGCUCUUCAGCACUUUCGGGGAGUUGAAGACCGUCCGCUUGCCCAAGAAGAUGACCGGGACGGGCGCGCACCGGGGGUUCGGCUUCGUGGACUUCCUCACCAAGCAGGACGCCAAGAGAGCCUUCAAUGCCCUGUGUCACAGCACCCACUUGUACGGCCGGAGGCUGGUGCUGGAGUGGGCGGACUCCGAGGUGACCCUGCAGGCCCUGCGGCGGAAGACGGCUGAGCACUUCCACGAGCCCCCGAAGAAAAAGCGGUCUGUGGUGUUGGACGAGAUCCUGGAGCAGCUGGAAGACAGUGAGAACGACAGUGAGGAGCAAACCCUUCAGCUGUGAGCUGGCACCGAGAGGACUCUUCCAUGAGGGCAGGUGAGCCCGAACAGCGUCUGGGCAGAGAUCCUUGGAUAACGGUGCUCAGGGCGAGAGCUGACUGCCUUUCCCGGAGGGAGAAUGAGAGCCUGUGCCUUCCACUCGUGUGCCUGGACCGCCUCCUCCUCUUCAGACCCCGAGGGGAAGCCGGCUUUCUGCCUCCAAGCACCACACUGCCCUGCUCCUGCUGCAGAGUGCACUUGGACCUUGGACCCACCGGAAGCGUGGGGAGCAGGACCUGUCUCCGAGCGGGGAUGGGGGGGUGGGGGUGGAAAGGGCUCCCGAUCCUGCGUGGUUUUUAUAUACGUUCCUUCCCUCACCUUUGAUAUGUAUAUAGGAUUUUUAUUUCUAAAUACAGAAGCAAGGUGCCUUUUA
RNA transcript from Myotis lucifugus (little brown bat), 3444 nucleotides. It is a transcript of the gene named RNA binding motif protein 19, with no coding region annotated. NCBI's taxonomy places the organism in Eukaryota, Metazoa, Chordata, Mammalia, Chiroptera, Vespertilionidae. The record is from RefSeq and is a predicted model, not a curated record. The transcript has 26 exons.